RNAcentral lists this unclassified non-coding RNA (396 nucleotides) under soil metagenome. Its description in RNAcentral is "partial contains 5.8S ribosomal RNA, internal transcribed spacer 2, and large subunit ribosomal RNA". The stretch from base 1 to 122 matches the Rfam family "5.8S ribosomal RNA", at positions 35 to 154 of the family's 154-position model. The record is from RNAcentral.
GAUGAAGAACGUAGCGAAAUGCGAUACUUGGUGUGAAUUGCAGAAUCCCGUGAACCAUCGAGUCUUUGAACGCAAGUUGCGCCCGAAGCCAUUAGGCCGAGGGCACGCCUGCCUGGGUGUCACACACCGUUACCCUCGCGCCAACGUCCAUCGUUGGCCGCGGCGCGGGGCGUGCGCUGACCUCCCGCGAGCGGGGUCUCGUGGUUGGUUGAAAAUCGAGUUCGCGGUCGAGGGUGCCGUGAUGAAAUGGUGGACGGGCGACGCCCGAGGCCAAUCACGCGCGACUCCGUCCGGCUCGGACUCCUGGACCCCUUCGGCGUCUCCGGACGCUCUUUGGCGAGACCUCAGGUCAGGCGGGGCUACCCGCUGAGUUUAAGCAUAUCAAUAAGCGGAGGA